Molecule: microRNA precursor, 98 nt
Filed under: Ciona intestinalis (vase tunicate)
Lineage: Eukaryota; Metazoa; Chordata; Ascidiacea; Phlebobranchia; Cionidae
Description: let-7e stem-loop (cin-let-7e)
Gene: cin-let-7e
Source: miRBase by way of RNAcentral
UCAGCUAUUCGUGGCUGAGGUAGUUGGUUGUAUCGGUUCCCUUGUGAAAUGUUAACUAUACAGCCCGCUAACUUAACCAUUGGUUGCUAACUAUCCAC